Molecule: ribosomal RNA, 497 nt
Filed under: uncultured bacterium
Lineage: Bacteria
Description: partial 16S ribosomal RNA
Rfam family: Bacterial small subunit ribosomal RNA
Source: RNAcentral
GAUGAACGCUGGCGGCGUGCCUAAUACAUGCAAGUCGAGCGAACAGAUGAGUAGCUUGCUCCUCUGACGUUAGCGGCGGACGGGUGAGUAACACGUGGAUAACCUACCUAUAAGACUUGGAUAACUUCGGGAAACCGGAGCUAAUACCGGAUAAUAUAUUGAACCGCAUGGUUCAAUAGUGAAAGACGGUUUUGCUGUCACUUAUAGAUGGAUCCGCGCCGCAUUAGCUAGUUGGUAAGGUAACGGCUUACCAAGGCAACGAUGCGUAGCCGACCUGAGAGGGUGAUCGGCCACACUGGAACUGAGACACGGUCCAGACUCCUACGGGAGGCAGCAGUAGGGAAUCUUCCGCAAUGGGCGAAAGCCUGACGGAGCAACGCCGCGUGAGUGAUGAAGGUCUUCGGAUCGUAAAACUCUGUUAUUAGGGAAGAACAAAUGUGUAAGUAACUAUGCACGUCUUGACGGUACCUAAUCAGAAAGCCACGGCUAACUACGUG